Molecule: small nuclear RNA, 127 nt
Organism: Fukomys damarensis (Damara mole-rat)
Lineage: Eukaryota; Metazoa; Chordata; Mammalia; Rodentia; Bathyergidae
Gene: U4
Rfam family: U4 spliceosomal RNA
About the family: U4 small nuclear RNA (U4 snRNA) is a component of the major U2-dependent spliceosome. The structure of U4 snRNA from yeast and human has been reported. U4 snRNA presents a k-turn RNA motif in the 5p-SL related to recognition of Snu13 protein.
Source: Ensembl
AGCUUUGCGCAGUGGCAGUAUCGUAGCCAAUGAGGUUUAUCCGAGGCGCGAUUAUUGCUAAUUGAAAAAAGAUAUUCAAUAAAUAUUUACUGGCUCAGUGGAUGAUGAAAAGAUGCCCCUUGUGGAG